Molecule: long non-coding RNA, 233 nt
Filed under: Hordeum vulgare
Lineage: Eukaryota; Viridiplantae; Streptophyta; Magnoliopsida; Poales; Poaceae
Description: long non-coding RNA (HVUL_LNC004653)
Source: RNAcentral
ACAAGAAUUAAGAGGGGGAUGGUCUACGCAUAGCGGACGCGAACUAUUAAUGAUCAAAUGAAUGAUCCUGAACACCUACUUACGUCAGACAUAACCCCACUGUGUCCUCGAUCGGAGAAGGAACUCAUGAAAGAGACAAUCACGGUUACGCACACAGUUGGCAAGUUUUAACUAAGUUAUCUUCAAAUUAUCUAGAACCAGUGUUAAAAAAAGUUUCCACGUUGCCACAUAAC